GGGGUUGUGGCUCAAUAGCAGAGCGCUUGCCUAGCACGCAUGAGGCACUGGGUUCGAUCCCCAGCACCACA
This 71-nucleotide transfer RNA is filed under the name Marmota monax (woodchuck). RNAcentral's name for it is "tRNA.Ala". It matches the Rfam family "tRNA". Rfam says of the family: Transfer RNA (tRNA) molecules are approximately 80 nucleotides in length. The record is from RNAcentral. Lineage: Eukaryota; Metazoa; Chordata; Mammalia; Rodentia; Sciuridae.